RNAcentral lists this transfer RNA (83 nucleotides) under Natronoflexus pectinivorans. Its description in RNAcentral is "tRNA-Tyr". It matches the Rfam family "tRNA". From Rfam's summary of the family: Transfer RNA (tRNA) molecules are approximately 80 nucleotides in length. Their secondary structure includes four short double-helical elements and three loops (D, anti-codon, and T loops). The record is from RNAcentral. Lineage: Bacteria; Pseudomonadati; Bacteroidota; Bacteroidia; Marinilabiliales; Marinilabiliaceae. RNAcentral also lists the same sequence under 1 other name.
GGGGGGAUACCGAAGUGGCCAACCGGGGCAGACUGUAAAUCUGUUGUCUUACGACUUCGGAGGUUCGAAUCCUCCUCCCCCCA